CAGUCGACGAUGAACCCAGCUUGCUGGGUGGAUUAGUGGCGAACGGGUGAGUAACACGUGAGUAACCUGCCCUUGACUCUGGGAUAAGCGCUGGAAACGGCGUCUAAUACCGGAUACGACCUGCCCCGGCAUCGGGUGUGGGUGGAAAGUUUUUCGGUCAAGGAUGGACUCGCGGCCUAUCAGCUUGUUGGUGAGGUAAUGGCUCACCAAGGCGACGACGGGUAGCCGGCCUGAGAGGGUGACCGGCCACACUGGGACUGAGACACGGCCCAGACUCCUACGGGAGGCAGCAGUGGGGAAUAUUGCACAAUGGGCGCAAGCCUGAUGCAGCAACGCCGCGUGGGGGAUGACGGCCUUCGGGUUGUAAACCUCUUUUAGUAGGGAAGAAGGACUUCGGUUUGACGGUACCUGCAGAAAAAGCACCGGCUAACUACGUGCCAGCAGCCGCGGUAAUACGUAGGGUGCAAGCGUUGUCCGGAAUUAUUGGGCGUAAAGAGCUCGUAGGCGGUUUGUCGCGUCUGCUGUGAAAACCCGAGGCUCAACCUCGGGCCUGCAGUGGGUACGGGCAGACUAGAGUGCGGUAGGGGAGAAUGGAAUUCCUGGUGUAGCGGUGGAAUGCGCAGAUAUCAGGAGGAACACCGAUGGCGAAGGCAGUUCUCUGGGCCGUAACUGACGCUGAGGAGCGAAAGCGUGGGGAGCGAACAGGAUUAGAUACCCUGGUAGUCCACGCCGUAAACGUUGGGCGCUAGAUGUGGGGACCUUUCCACGGUUUCCGUGUCGCAGCUAACGCAUUAAGCGCCCCGCCUGGGGAGUACGGCCGCAAGGCUAAAACUCAAAGGAAUUGACGGGGGCCCGCACAAGCGGCGGAGCAUGCGGAUUAAUUCGAUGCAACGCGAAGAACCUUACCAAGGCUUGACAUAUACCGGAAACUUCCAGAAAUGGUUGCCCCGCAAGGUCGGUAUACAGGUGGUGCAUGGUUGUCGUCAGCUCGUGUCGUGAGAUGUUGGGUUAAGUCCCGCAACGAGCGCAACCCUCGUUCUAUGUUGCCAGCACGUCAUGGUGGGAACUCAUAGGAGACUGCCGGGGUCAACUCGGAGGAAGGUGGGGAUGACGUCAAAUCAUCAUGCCCCUUAUGUCUUGGGCUUCACGCAUGCUACAAUGGCCGGUACAAAGGGCUGCGAUACCGUAAGGUGGAGCGAAUCCCAAAAAGCCGGUCUCAGUUCGGAUUGAGGUCUGCAACUCGACCUCAUGAAGUCGGAGUCGCUAGUAAUCGCAGAUCAGCAACGCUGCGGUGAAUACGUUCCCGGGCCUUGUACACACCGCCCGUCAAGUCAUGAAAGUCGGUAACACCCGAAGCCAGUGGCCUAACCGCAAGGAGGGAGCUGUCGAAGGUGGGAUCG
RNAcentral lists this ribosomal RNA (1400 nucleotides) under Rathayibacter tritici. RNAcentral describes it as "bacterial SSU rRNA". It matches the Rfam family "Bacterial small subunit ribosomal RNA". Lineage: Bacteria; Bacillati; Actinomycetota; Actinomycetes; Micrococcales; Microbacteriaceae. The record is from RNAcentral.